UGGGAUGUAGCUCAUUGGUAGAGCUUGUGGUUUGCAUGCAUGAGACUCUGGGUUCAAUCCACAGUAUCUCAA
Ictidomys tridecemlineatus (thirteen-lined ground squirrel) is the source of this 72-nucleotide non-coding RNA. Lineage: Eukaryota; Metazoa; Chordata; Mammalia; Rodentia; Sciuridae. The record is from Rfam.